UGCAGUCGAACGGCAGCACGGGGGCAACCCUGGUGGCGAGUGGCGAACGGGUGAGUAAUACAUCGGAACGUGUCCUGUAGUGGGGGAUAGCCCGGCGAAAGCCGGAUUAAUACCGCAUACGAUCUACGGAAGAAAGCGGGGGAUCGCAAGACCUCGCGCUAUAGGGGCGGCCGAUGGCAGAUUAGCUAGUUGGUGGGGUAAAGGCCUACCAAGGCGACGAUCUGUAGCUGGUCUGAGAGGACGACCAGCCACACUGGGACUGAGACACGGCCCAGACUCCUACGGGAGGCAGCAGUGGGGAAUUUUGGACAAUGGGGGAAACCCUGAUCCAGCAAUGCCGCGUGUGUGAAGAAGGCCUUCGGGUUGUAAAGCACUUUUGUCCGGAAAGAAAACCUUUGCACUAAUACUGUGAGGGGAUGACGGUACCGGAAGAAUAAGCACCGGCUAACUACGUGCCAGCAGCCGCGGUAAUACGUAGGGUGCGAGCGUUAAUCGGAAUUACUGGGCGUAAAGCGUGCGCAGGCGGUUCGUUAAGACAGAUGUGAAAUCCCCGGGCUUAACCUGGGAACUGCAUUUGUGACUGGCGAGCUAGAGUAUGGCAGAGGGGGGUAGAAUUCCACGUGUAGCAGUGAAAUGCGUAGAGAUGUGGAGGAAUACCGAUGGCGAAGGCAGCCCCCUGGGCCAAUACUGACGCUCAUGCACGAAAGCGUGGGGAGCAAACAGGAUUAGAUACCCUGGUAGUCCACGCCCUAAACGAUGUCAACUAGUUGUUGGGUCUUCAUUGACUUAGUAACGUAGCUAACGCGUGAAGUUGACCGCCUGGGGAGUACGGUCGCAAGAUUAAAACUCAAAGGAAUUGACGGGGACCCGCACAAGCGGUGGAUGAAUGUGGAUUAAUUCGAUGCAACGCGAAAAACCUUACCUACCCUUGACAUGGUCGGAACCUGGCUGAAAGGCUGGGGUGCUCGAAAGAGAACCGAUACACAGGUGCUGCAUGGCUGUCGUCAGCUCGUGUCGUGAGAAGUUGGGGUUAAGUCCCGCAACGAGCGCAACCCUUGGUCCUUAGUUGCUACGCAAGAGCACUC
RNAcentral lists this ribosomal RNA (1085 nucleotides) under Burkholderia sp. RNAcentral describes it as "bacterial SSU rRNA". It matches the Rfam family "Bacterial small subunit ribosomal RNA", at positions 56 to 1140 of the family's 1533-position model. Lineage: Bacteria; Pseudomonadati; Pseudomonadota; Betaproteobacteria; Burkholderiales; Burkholderiaceae. The record is from RNAcentral.